RNAcentral lists this ribosomal RNA (274 nucleotides) under uncultured bacterium. Its description in RNAcentral is "partial 16S ribosomal RNA". It matches the Rfam family "Bacterial small subunit ribosomal RNA", at positions 523 to 796 of the family's 1533-position model. The record is from RNAcentral.
AUACGGAGGGUGCAAGCGUUAAUCGGAAUUACUGGGCGUAAAGCGCUCGUAGGCGGCUUGUUAAGUCGGAUGUGAAAGCCCCGGGCUCAACCUGGGAACUGCAUUCGAUACUGGCAAGCUAGAGUAUAGUAGAGGCAAGUGGAAUUCCGGGUGUAGCGGUGAAAUGCGUAGAUAUCCGGAGGAACAUCAGUGGCGAAGGCGACUUGCUGGACUAAUUCUGACGCUGAGGAGCGAAAGCGUGGGGAGCAAACGGGAUUAGAUACCCCAGUAGUCC